RNAcentral lists this ribosomal RNA (472 nucleotides) under uncultured eukaryote. Its description in RNAcentral is "bacterial SSU rRNA". It matches the Rfam family "Eukaryotic small subunit ribosomal RNA", at positions 619 to 1095 of the family's 1831-position model. The record is from RNAcentral.
UUAAAAAGCUCGUAGUUGGGUUUCUGCCGAGGGCAGCCGGUCCAGCUUAUGGCUGUACAUCUGGUUAGUCUGAGGCAUCUUUCCGAGGAACACGUCUGCACUUGAUUGUGUGGUGUGGUAUUCGGUCCUUUUACUUUGAGGAAAUUAGAGUGUUCAAAGCAGGCUUUCGCCUUGAAUACAUUAGCAUGGAAUAAUAAGAUAGGAUUUCGGUUCUUUUUUGUUGGUUUCUAGAGCUGGAAUAAUGAUUAAUAGGGACAGUUGGGGGCAUUCGUAUUUAACUGUCAGAGGUGAAAUUCUUGGAUUUGUUAAAGACGAACAACUGCGAAAGCAUUUGCCAAGGAUGUUUUCAUUGAUCAAGAACGAAAGAUAGGGGAUCGAAGACGAUCAGAUACCGUCCUAGUCUUAACCAUAAACUAUGCCGACUAGAGAUUGGAGAACGCUUCAUAUACGGCUUCUUCAGCACCUUAUGAGA